Molecule: ribosomal RNA, 250 nt
Filed under: uncultured prokaryote
Description: partial 16S ribosomal RNA
Rfam family: Bacterial small subunit ribosomal RNA
Source: RNAcentral
UACGUAGGGGGCGAGCGUUAUCCGGAUUUAUUGGGCGUAAAGCGUGCGUAGGCGGUUUAUUAAGUCUAGAAUUAAAUCCCGAGGCUUAACCUCGGUUCGUUCUGGAUACUGGUAGACUUGAGUAUGGUAGAGGCAAACGGAAUUCCUAGUGUAGCGGUGAAAUGCGUAGAUAUUAGGAGGAACACCAGUGGCGAAGGCGGUUUGCUGGGCCAUCACUGACGCUGAGGUACGAAAGCGUGGGUAGCAAAUA